GCAGAGAAGACUCUCACUCAAAGAGCAGUAUUGCUUCUUUGAAUGAGUCACCCUUGCCACAGACAGCCAAUCCUUUGAAAGUGUAUCCUACAGAGCACAGGACCCCAGAAAAGGUUGUCCAGUUGUCCUUCCCAGAAUAUGUGUUGCAUACUGACUCUGAACUUGAACAAGUCCGAAAACAAUACUUUGAGUAGGCAAAAAAAGGUGAGGAGAGGAACUUUGAAAUGUCAAAGGAUCUUAGAUGCCGACUCAUCCGGAACACCAUGACGAGUAUGAUCGCAAUCCUGAGGGCAAAAGGUGAUGGAGAAUCAGAGAGAUACCCAUCAAAACCAGAGGUUACAGCUAUGGCCAAGAGAAUAGUACAGUACUACCCCAUGCUCCAGGACAAAGGAAGCAAGAAGACUUCAUGGGUCACAGUGUAUGCACAGCUAUACAAAAGACUGCAAAAUGUGAGGUCUCCUCUCAAGACCAGUCCACGUUGGAGCCAGCCAAAGAAGCGCUGUGUGCUAAGUGACCCAGAUGAUUCAAGUGACUCAACUAUUAUUUUAGAUAGUUCCUCAGAAGGAUGUAGCACAUCAUCCUCAGGCAGCAAAAAAAGAGAAACUGACAGUCCAGACACUGACAACCAAGCAACCAUGGCCACCUGUAGUUCCCCACAGGCUUUCUCUACCAAGCCUUCAGAAGUCAGUUCUCCAUCCAGUGACAGCCCAGCAACCAUGGUCAAGCACUACAAGACCCUACAGGCUUUGUAUAAGAAAAAAACGCCAAACCAUGAGUCUGUCUCUCAGCUCCUGGACUUGGAAUUUCCAGCCAGACGAGCAUUCAUUAAUUCUGAUUCUCUUGGUGAGGAGAACAGACCUGAGAAGAUUCUGGAGGCGUACCCUUGUUUUAAAGACAUUGGACAUGUGAUGGAGGAGCUUCGGCGCAUCUUGGACAAGGAUAAUAGUCACUACAUUGACCAGGUGAAGGGAAGAUGGCAUGACUUCUCCCAGAAAGUGCAGUUUUUUGGUCUGUGGAAAAAGAUGGUGAAACCCCUGUCAAGUGGAAUGCAGAUGUUGAGGUCUCAGAGAGGACUCAGGCUCAUUAUGGCCCUAAGGUAACAAAGGUUCUGAAGCAGACAAAUAAAGAUCUUAAGAAGAAACAUUAUAAGAUAACCAUAUGAUUAUGCUUGCUAAAAUACAUAUAUAUUUUUUGAAGUGUUGAUUUGAUUGAAGUAAUGAUACAGAUGAUUUAUUAUGUUCAGAUUGAGAAGAAUGAUUUAAGAAGUGGUUCUGUGUGAAGUAAUCCUUGUUUAGGCUCUGUGUGUGCGUACAGGCCUCAUAAGCUUGUGUGUCCAGGCCUUAAGAAAGCAGAAGUACAGUAAACAACAGUCACCAUGACUCGGCAGCCACAAUGACAUUGCAGCCUCCUCAGAAAAAAAGGGAAGUUUGGGAAAAACCCAAAAGGGUGGGCUGAAAUGUGUGUGUGUUAAACAGAAUGUGGACACUGUGUAUUUGCUGUAACAACAUGACUUCUGUAUUACUGUUGUAUGUGAUGACAAAGUUGAUUGCAUAAGUUAGACGGUGUCAGAGGGCGUACCUAGCCAGUUUUGUGUGUCUAGAGAAAGUAUAAGAAUAGGAGAGCAGAGACAUUAUUUGGGAGUCGUUCGCCGGAGCUGCUAAGAAGAAGCUGCAAAGGGAACUUGGCCGGAGUUCUGAAGAAUCUUCACCUUCCUCUUUUGCCCAAGAGACGGGAAGACGACGCGGGACUUAGGCUCCAGAGAUCGCUGAGGACAUCGUUGGAAGCAAAGUCUUUUUCUGACUUUGUUCAACAAGCGAAGACCACACUCUGCCAAACGGAGAGUCCGAAGAGGUUCUGCAGUUAUCUAGAAGAAACCAAUAGAGGGAAGAACCGACUACACCCGAAGAGGCAAAGGAGGCAACAGCACUGGGCUGUUCCCCUCCCCGGGGCUGGGAGACCCAGUGACCCACUACAGCCUGAACAGACGAGGGUUUUCCAUCACCACCAUACCACAGAGAAGACAGCUGAGGCGUAAGCACUAACGUUCCAGCCAAUUCCAGAGGUAACUGCCAGACCACGAUUGGCUUACAGGACUCCUCCGCUCCCCCCUGCCGAGGGACAAGAUCCUUUUGUCCACAAAGAAGACAUCGUACCGAGUCCUCCGGACAACUGAGUGCUUUUCCCAGACGCAAGACAAGACCGAGUGAUACGGUAGUGGCCAUGCUGUUCGCUCUCUCUCCUAAAAUUAAUAAUUAGAGAAGAUUGUCAGGUACGCUCAAUUUAUUUACUUUAGUCUCAUUUUUAAUCAGAAAUAAUUAAUUGUUUUAAUCAUGAAUUGAUGCUGUGCUCUUGCUAAAAUUGCUUAAUAAAACGCUCUAUUGCAUUUAAAGAGAAGCCUAAUGAAAUUAUUAUAAACCACUGAAAAUCUGCAUAGUGGUAAAAAGUUAAGUUGAUUGUGUGCAUUCAAUCCAAUGGUUCUUAAAGGUUACUUAGUCCAAAGUGAGAUUGUUUAAACAUUACCCCUGAGGUUAGUUCUUUCCAAACCUCUAAAACGAACCCAGGAAUAGCACCAAGUGCAGGCAAGUCCUUAAGAGAGAAGCUGACCGAUAACGAAUGUGAAUGAUAGAUCAAUUCUACUACUAAAAAGGCUGCUU
This is a long non-coding RNA of Acanthochromis polyacanthus (spiny chromis), 2654 nucleotides long. RefSeq lists it as uncharacterized. The transcript is spliced from 5 exons. The record is from RefSeq and is a predicted model, not a curated record. NCBI's taxonomy places the organism in Eukaryota, Metazoa, Chordata, Actinopteri, Pomacentridae.